This 1437-nucleotide ribosomal RNA is filed under the name uncultured organism. Its description in RNAcentral is "16S ribosomal RNA". It matches the Rfam family "Bacterial small subunit ribosomal RNA". The record is from RNAcentral.
GCUUAACACAUGCAAGUCGAGGGGCAGCAUGGUCUUAGCUUGCUAAGGCCGAUGGCGACCGGCGCACGGGUGAGUAACACGUAUCCAACCUGCCGUCUACUCUUGGACAGCCUUCUGAAAGGAAGAUUAAUACAAGAUGGCAUCAUGAGUCCGCAUGUUCACAUGAUUAAAGGUAUUCCGGUAGACGAUGGGGAUGCGUUCCAUUAGAUAGUAGGCGGGGUAACGGCCCACCUAGUCUUCGAUGGAUAGGGGUUCUGAGAGGAAGGUCCCCCACAUUGGAACUGAGACACGGUCCAAACUCCUACGGGAGGCAGCAGUGAGGAAUAUUGGUCAAUGGGCGAGAGCCUGAACCAGCCAAGUAGCGUGAAGGAUGACUGCCCUAUGGGUUGUAAACUUCUUUUAUAAAGGAAUAAAGUCGGGUAUGGAUACCCGUUUGCAUGUACUUUAUGAAUAAGGAUCGGCUAACUCCGUGCCAGCAGCCGCGGUAAUACGGAGGAUCCGAGCGUUAUCCGGAUUUAUUGGGUUUAAAGGGAGCGUAGAUGGAUGUUUAAGUCAGUUGUGAAAGUUUGCGGCUCAACCGUAAAAUUGCAGUUGAUACUGGAUAUCUUGAGUGCAGUUGAGGCAGGCGGAAUUCGUGGUGUAGCGGUGAAAUGCUUAGAUAUCACGAAGAACUCCGAUUGCGAAGGCAGCCUGCUAAGCUGCAACUGACAUUGAGGCUCGAAAGUGUGGGUAUCAAACAGGAUUAGAUACCCUGGUAGUCCACACGGUAAACGAUGAAUACUCGCUGUUUGCGAUAUACAGCAAGCGGCCAAGCGAAAGCGUUAAGUAUUCCACCUGGGGAGUACGCCGGCAACGGUGAAACUCAAAGGAAUUGACGGGGGCCCGCACAAGCGGAGGAACAUGUGGUUUAAUUCGAUGAUACGCGAGGAACCUUACCCGGGCUUAAAUUGCAGAUGAAUUACGGUGAAAGCCGUAAGCCGCAAGGCAUCUGUGAAGGUGCUGCAUGGUUGUCGUCAGCUCGUGCCGUGAGGUGUCGGCUUAAGUGCCAUAACGAGCGCAACCCUUGUUGUCAGUUACUAACAGGUUCCGCUGAGGACUCUGACAAGACUGCCAUCGUAAGAUGUGAGGAAGGUGGGGAUGACGUCAAAUCAGCACGGCCCUUACGUCCGGGGCUACACACGUGUUACAAUGGGGGGUACAGAGGGCCGCUACCACGCGAGUGGAUGCCAAUCCCCAAAACCUCUCUCAGUUCGGACUGGAGUCUGCAACCCGACUCCACGAAGCUGGAUUCGCUAGUAAUCGCGCAUCAGCCACGGCGCGGUGAAUACGUUCCCGGGCCUUGUACACACCGCCCGUCAAGCCAUGGGAGCCGGGGGUACCUGAAGUGCGUAACCGCGAGGAGCGCCCUAGGGUAAAACUGGUGACUGGGGCUAAGUC